AGUGAACGCUGGCGGUAGGCCUAACACAUGCAAGUCGAACGGCAGCACAGUAAGAGCUUGCUCUUACGGGUGGCGAGUGGCGGACGGGUGAGGAAUACAUCGGAAUCUACUUUUUCGUGGGGGAUAACGUAGGGAAACUUACGCUAAUACCGCAUACGACCUACGGGUGAAAGCAGGGGAUCUUCGGACCUUGCGCGAUUGAAUGAGCCGAUGUCGGAUUAGCUAGUUGGCGGGGUAAAGGCCCACCAAGGCGACGAUCCGUAGCUGGUCUGAGAGGAUGAUCAGCCACACUGGAACUGAGACACGGCCCAGACUCCUACGGGAGGCAGCAGUGGGGAAUAUUGGACAAUGGGCGCAAGCCUGAUCCAGCCAUACCGCGUGGGUGAAGAAGGCCUUCGGGUUGUAAAGCCCUUUUGUUGGGAAAGAAAAGCAGCAGGUUAAUACCCCGCUGUUCUGACGGUACCCAAGGAAUAAGCACCGGCUAACUUCGUG
This 492-nucleotide ribosomal RNA is filed under the name uncultured bacterium. Its description in RNAcentral is "partial 16S ribosomal RNA". It matches the Rfam family "Bacterial small subunit ribosomal RNA", at positions 29 to 507 of the family's 1533-position model. The record is from RNAcentral.